Pongo pygmaeus (Bornean orangutan) is the source of this 754-nucleotide long non-coding RNA. RefSeq lists it as uncharacterized. The record is from RefSeq and is a predicted model, not a curated record. NCBI's taxonomy places the organism in Eukaryota, Metazoa, Chordata, Mammalia, Primates, Hominidae. The transcript has 3 exons.
UUGUGACUGACACAUUAUUGCUUUCCAGGAAGUGGUAGGGAUGACAAAAAAGCAUAUUCCAACAGGGCUUUGGAGAGGAUAAAGUCCAAGAAGUACUGAAGCCAAGAGUGACUUAAAUUUUUAAGAAUCUUCAUUUUAAAGAUAAGUAGUAGUCCACAUAGGAAUGCAUGGUAUUCAAUGAUGAUUUCCUACUUUUAUUCAAGGGAUAGGAACAUGCUAUUGUGAUCAGAAAGAAAAGUCAAACAAAAAGAAGAGGCCAAAGGAAAGGAUAUGGUCAGAAAAAAUCAAACAAAAAGAAGAAGGUGAUAAAGGAAAACAGAUGGUAGUGGUUCCUAUCAAGAUCUUAGAGAAAGAGAAUAUUAAGGGAGACAAAUUGAUAUCCAACUAAUCAGAAGCUGGAUGUAGUUGAAGGACUUCUUGUUCUAAUUUAUCUGGCUGUGUCUUCACUGAGCAGCAGUAUGCUGAUUGUUUUACCUGUGGUAGCUACAAAAAUCUCGUAAAAUAUAGAGCAGGAUGCCUAGUGGAAACUGAGGCUGAGAAAGAUACAACAACUUGUUGAAUAUCACAGAAAGAAUUUGUGAUUAAAGAUUCACAUACAGCCCUCUUCAUGAUUGCAGAAUCUCAGCUUUCAACUACACUGAUUCUCCACAGUGAUGCAUUUCUUGUUGUAAUUUAAUACAAGGAGAACAUGGAAUGGAAAAAAUCUGACCAGCAUUGCAUAAUAUGAUAAAAAUAACUCAUGAUUAAUUUAAAA